GUGAGGAAUAUUGGUCAAUGGACGAGAGUCUGAACCAGCCAAGUAGCGUGAAGGAUGACUGCCCUAUGGGUUGUAAACUUCUUUUAUACGGGAAUAAAGUGGAGUAUGCAUACUCCUUUGUAUGUACCGUAUGAAUAAGGAUCGGCUAACUCCGUGCCAGCAGCCGCGGUAAUACGGAGGAUCCGAGCGUUAUCCGGAUUUAUUGGGUUUAAAGGGAGCGUAGGCGGGUGCUUAAGUCAGUUGUGAAAGUUUGCGGCUCAACCGUAAAAUUGCAGUUGAUACUGGGCGCCUUGAGUGCAGCAUAGGUAGGCGGAAUUCGUGGUGUAGCGGUGAAAUGCUUAGAUAUCACGAAGAACUCCGAUUGCGAAGGCAGCUUACUGGACUGUAACUGACGCUGAUGCUCGAAAGUGUGGGUAUCAAACAGGA
RNAcentral lists this ribosomal RNA (426 nucleotides) under uncultured bacterium. Its description in RNAcentral is "bacterial SSU rRNA". It matches the Rfam family "Bacterial small subunit ribosomal RNA", at positions 354 to 777 of the family's 1533-position model. The record is from RNAcentral.